UGUUUUCAAGCACAGAUCUCUCUCUUAACAAAAAAAAGAAGAUCAAUUCCUCUGCAAUUGUAUGCGAUCUGCGAUGGUGGGUCAAUCUCGGAAGGUGGAUUUGUUAGUUUAAUCAAAGCAUGAUACAGAGUGCAUAAUUUUUGAGGCGAGAUCAGGGUUUCAGAAGGGGCUUCUUUUUAGUGUCUACGCAUCAAAACAAUGAUAAUCAAACGGAAAUUGAAGACAAUGCCGAGUUUGAAACGACAUAGUAAUGAGGAAGAUGAAGAUAGCUUAUCGCAAGAAUAAGAAUGUGAUUUGGAUAGUACUUUUUGGGCUUACAUCAAUAUAAUUUUGCUAGCCCAACUGUAAAAUAAACACAAUGUCCAAACGAAAUGUCACUGAGGAAUAAAUGAAACGGUGAGUUUCACAAUUUUUGGACACGUGUCAACUUUAGAAAGCUUGACUU
RNAcentral lists this long non-coding RNA (445 nucleotides) under Brassica napus (rape). RNAcentral's name for it is "long non-coding RNA (BNAP_LNC024426)". The record is from RNAcentral. Lineage: Eukaryota; Viridiplantae; Streptophyta; Magnoliopsida; Brassicales; Brassicaceae.